RNAcentral lists this ribosomal RNA (496 nucleotides) under uncultured bacterium. RNAcentral's name for it is "partial 16S ribosomal RNA". It matches the Rfam family "Bacterial small subunit ribosomal RNA", at positions 29 to 507 of the family's 1533-position model. The record is from RNAcentral.
AUGAACGCUGGCGGCGUGCCUCAUACAUGCAAGUCGAGCGAACAGACGAGGAGCUUGCCCCUCUGACGUUAGCGGCGGACGGGUGAGUAACACGUGGAUAACCUACCUAUAAGACUGGGAUAACUUCGGGAAACCGGAGCUAAUACCGGAUAAUAUAUUGAACCGCAUGGUUCAAUAGUGAAAGACGGUUUUGCUGUCACUUAUAGAUGGAUCCGCGCCGCAUUAGCUAGUUGGUAAGGUAACGGCUUACCAAGGCAACGAUGCGUAGCCGACCUGAGAGGGUGAUCGGCCACACUGGAACUGAGACACGGUCCAGACUCCUACGGGAGGCAGCAGUAGGGAAUCUUCCGCAAUGGGCGAAAGCCUGACGGAGCAACGCCGCGUGAGUGAUGAAGGUCUUCGGAUCGUAAAACUCUGUUAUUAGGGAAGAACAAAUGUGUAAGUAACUAUGCACGUCUUGACGGUACCUAAUCAGAAAGCCACGGCUAACUACGUG